UACCAGAGGGGAAUCACCCAUCCCAGCAAUUGGAAUUUGAGUUCUGGCUAGCCCCACCACUGAGGCCUAAAGCACUCUGGGGUCCUAAAUAAACUUGAAAGGCAGUCUAGGCUACAAGGACUGCAAGUCUUGAUCAAGUUCUGGUGCUGUGCUGGGCUUGGAGCCAGUGGAUUUGGGGUGCACAUGACACAAUGAGACAACUGCCAGGGUGGCCAAAGGAAUGCUUGCAUCACUACUCCCCCAAUCCCAGGCAGUGCAGCUCCCAGCUCUAGGAGGGAAUCCCUCUUUUGGCUUGAGGAGAGGAGAGGGAAGAGUAAAGAGGAUAUUGUCUUAUAACUUGGAUAUCAGCUCAGCCACAGUAGAGUAGGGCACCAGGGAGAGUCCUUAGGCCCCCAUUCCAGGCCCUAGCUCCUGGAUGACAUUGUUAGAUACACCCUGGGCCAGAAGGAAACUCAUUUCCUUGAAGAGAAGGACCUGGUCCUGACAGGAUUAAUCAUUUACUGACUAAACAGUCCUUAUGCCUUGAGUAAACAUCAGUGGUACCCAGGAAAUACUUACCAUGGGCUUCAGGCCUUGGGUGAAACCCAGGGCCUUGUUCACUUCAGAUGUGACCAGUGCAUUCCCAGAUAUGGUGGGCAUGAGAAACUCCUUCUACUUGAGAAAAGGAGAGGGAAGAGUAAAAGAGACUUUGUCUUGCAGCUUAGGUACCAGCUUGGCCACAGGGGCUUAAAGCACAAAGCAGGCUCUCGUGGUCCCCGAUUCCAGGCUUUGACACUUGGCUUCCAUUUCUGGAACUUCCCUGGGCCAGAGGAAGGCCUGCUGCCCUGAAUGUAGAGACCUGAGUCUGGCAGCAUCCACUACAAGCUUACUGAAAUUUCAGCCUUUGGGCUUUGGGCAAGACCCAGGGCUGUGCUGGCUUCAAGUCUGACCCAGUGCAGUCCCAGUGGUGGUGGCCACAGGGGUGAUUUAGUCCUCUCUCUCCCAGCUACAGGCAGCUCAGCAUGGAAUGAGGGGCUCCAUUUUUUGAGUGAAAGUAAGGGAAGGGAGCAAGGGUCUCUGCCUGGUAAUCCAGGGAAUUCUUCUAGGUCUUACUCAAGACCACCAAGGUGGUACCUCUGAGUCUGCAAGAGUAACCACAUUAAUGGGUUUGAUGUGCUCCCUAAUGCACAUAUGGCUGCAGUGACCAAAGAUUUAGAUCAUAACACUCAAUUCCUUUUGAAUACUUGGAAAGUCUUCCCAAGAAGAAUGGGUACAAACAAGCCCAGACUGCAAGGACUACAAUAAGUAUCCAUCUCUUUAAUGCCAAGACAUUGAUGAACAUCCACAAGCAUUGCAAUCAUCCAGGAGAACAUUACCUUGCCAAAGAAACAAAAUAAGGCACCAGUGACCAAUCCUGCAGUGACAGAGAUAUGUGACAUUUCAGAAAGAUAAUUCAGAAUAGCUGCUUUGCUCAACAAAAUGCAGGAUAACACAGAGAAGAAGUUCAGAAUUCUAUCAGAUAAAUUUAACAAAGAGAUUGAAAUAAUUAGAAAUAAUCAAGCAGAAAUUCUGAAGAUGAAAAAUUUAAUUGACAUACUGAAGAUGCAUCAGAGUUUUUAAAUAGCAGAAUUGAUCAAGCAGAAGAAAAAAAUAGUGAGCUUGAAGACAAACUAGUUGAAAAUACACAGAGGAGAAAAAGAAAGAAAGAAGAAAGAAAGAAGUAUGCCUGCAAGAUGUACAGAAUGGACUCAAAAAGGCAAAUUUAAGGGUUAUUGGACUUAAAGAGGUGGUAGAAAGAGAGAUAGAGUUAGAAAAUUAUUCAAAGGGAUAAUAUUAGCGAACUUCCCAAGUCUAGAAAAAGAUGUCAAUAUACAAGUACAAGAGGGUUAUAGAACACCACGCAGAUUUAACCCAAAGAAGACUACCUGAAACUCCCACAAAUCAAGGAUAAAAGAUCCUAAAAGCAGUAAGAGAAAAGAAACAAAUAACAUACAAAGGAGCUCCAUUACAUCUGACAGCAGACUUCUCAGUGGAAAACUUACAGGCCAAGAAAGAGUGGCAUGACAUAUUUAAAGUGCUCAAGGAAAAAAAUUAUCCUAGAAUACUAUAUUCAGUAAUGAUAUCCUUCAAACAUGAAGGAGAAGUAAAGACAUUUCCACACAAACAAAAACUGAGGGAUUUAAUCAACACCAGAACUAUCCUACAAGAAAUGCUAAAGAGAAUUUUUGAGUCUGAAAUAAGAGGACAUUAACAAGCAAUAGGAAAUCAUCUAAAGGUACAAAACUCACUGAUAAUAGUAAGUGCACAUACAAACAGAGAUUAUUAUAAUGUUGUAAGUGUGGUGUGUAAACUACUCAUGCCUUGAGUGGAAAGAAUAGAUGGUUAACAUAUAGAAAUAAUAAAUACAACUUUUCAAGACAGAGAGAGUAUAAUAAGACAUAAAGAGAAACAACAAAAAGUUAAGAAGCAUUGGAGGGUGGACUGAAAGUAUAGAGUUUUUAUUACUUUUCUCCUUGUUAGUUUGCUUUCACAAUACAUGCUAGGUGUCAUCAGUUUAAAACAAUAGGCUAUAAGAUGUUAUUUGCAAGCCUCAUGGUAAUCUCACAUCAAAAAAUCCAACAGAUUCGCAAAAAAUAAAAAGCAAGAAACUAAAUCAUAUCACCAGAAAAAGUCACCUUCACAAAAAGGAAAAUGGGAAGGUAAAAAGGAAAAAAGAGAAGACUACAAGAAACAAAAAAUAACAAAAUGGGAGGAGUAAGUCCUUACUUAUCAAUAAUAAUGUUGAAUAUAAAUGGACUAAACUCUUCAAUCAAAAGACAGUGUGGCUGAAUGGAUUAAAAACAAGACCCAGCGAUCUGUUGCCUACAAGAAACACACUUCACCAAUAAAUACACACAUUGGGCCAGGCGUGGUGGCUCAUGCCUGUAAUCUCAGCACUUUGGGAGGCCGAGGUGGGUGGAUCAUGAAUGAGGUCAGGAGAUUGAGACCAUCCUGGCUAACAUGGUGAAACCCUAUCUCUACUAAAAAUACAAAAAAAAAAUUAGCCAGGCAUGGUGGUGGGUGCCUGUAGUCCCAGCUACUCGGGAGGCUGAGACAGGAGAAUGUCAUGAACCCAGGAGGCAGAGCUUGCAGUGAGCCAAGAUCACACCACCACACUCCAGCCUGGGUGACAGAGCGAGACUCCGUCUCAAAAAAAAAAAAAAAAAAAAAAAAAAGAAAGAAAAGGACACACAUUGACUGAAAAUAAAGAGUGGAAAAAGAUAUUUCAUGCAAAUGGAAAGUAAAAAAGCAAAAGUAGCUAUAUUUGUAUGAGACAAAAUAGAAUUCAAGACAAAAAACUAUGAAAAGAAAUAAGGAAGGUCAUUAUACAAUGAUAAAGGGGUCACUUCAGCAGGAGGUAUAACAAUUAUAAAUAUAUAUGCACCCAACACUGGAGCACCCAGAUAUAUAAAGGAAAUAUUAUUAGAGCUAAAGAGGUAGACCAAAUACAAUAAUAGCUGGAGACUUCAACACCCCACUUUUAGCAUUGGACAGACCUUUUGGACAGAAAAUCCAUAAAGAAACAUUGAAGUUAAUCUACACUAUAAACCAAAUGGACUUAAUAGAUAUUUACAGAAUAUUUCAUCCAAUGGCUGCAGGAUACACAUUGUUUUCCUCAGCACAUGGACCAUUCUCAAGGAAACACCAUGUUGUCCCACAAAAUUAGUCUCAAAAAAUUAAAAAAAUUGAAAACAUAUCAAGUAUCUUCUCUAACCACAAUUGAAUAAAACUAGAAAUGAAUAACAACAAUAAAUUUGGAAAUGAUAAAAACACAGAUAAAUUAAACCAUAUGCUCCUGAAUGAUCAAUGGGUCAAUAAAUAAAUUAUGAAGAAAAUUGAAAAAUUUCUUGAGACAAAUGAAAAUGGAAACACAAGAUAACAAAACCUGUGUAAUAUAGCAAAAGCAGUACUAAGUGGGACGUUUAUAGCUAUAAAUGCCUACAUCAAAACAUUAGAAAAACUUCAAAUUCACAAUCUAAUAAUGCAUCUUAAAGAAGCAGAAAAAAGCAAGAGCAAACAAACUUGUAGUUAAUAGAAUAAAGGAAAUAAUUUAAAAAAUGGAGCAGAAGUAAAUGAAGUUGAAACAAAGAAAACAUUACAAAAGUUCCAUGAAACAAAAUGUUUGUUAUUUGCAAAGACAAACAAAAUACACAAACCUUUAGUCAGAUUAAGAAAAAAAAAAGAGAAGACCCAAGUAAAAUCAGAGAUGAAAAAGGAGACAUUACAACUGAUACUGCAGAAAUUCAAAGUAUCAUUAGUGGCUAUUACAAACAACCAUAUGCCAAUAAAUUUGAAAACCUAGAAGAAGGCCGGGCGCGGUGGCUCACGCCUGUAAUCCCAGCACUUUGGGAGGCCGAGGCGGGUGGAUCAUGAGGUCAGGAGAUCGAGACCAUCCUGGCUAACAAGGUGAAACCCCAUCUCUACUAAAAAUUCAAAAAAUUAGCCGGGCGCGGUGGCGGGCGCCUGUAGUCCCAGCUACUCAGGAGGCUGAGGCAGGAGAAUGGCGUGAACCCGGGAAGCGGAGCUUGCAGUGAGCCGAGAUUGUGCCACUGCAGUCCGCAGUCCGGCCUGGGCAACAGAGCGAGACUCCGUCUCAAAAAAAAAAAAAAAAAAAAAAAAAAAAAGAAAACCUAGAAGAAAAGAAUAAAUUCCUAGACAUAUGUAACGUACCAAGAUUGAACCAUGAAGAAAUCCAUGACUGGAAUAGGCCAAUAACAAGUAAUGAGAUUGAAGCCAUAAUAAAAAGCCCCCCAGCAAUGAAAAGCCCGGGACCCAGUGGCUUCACUGCUGAAUUUUACCCAACAAGGAAGAACUAAUACCAAACUAUUCCAAAAAAUGGAGAAAGAAUUAAUACUUCCAAGCUCAUUCUCUGAGGCUGGUGUUACUCCACUACCAAAACCAGACAGACACAUCACAAAAGAAAACGACAGGCCAAUAUCCUUGAUGAACAUCAAUGCAAAAAUCCUCAGCAAAGUACUAGCAAACAAAAUUCAGCAAUACAUUAGAAAGAUCAUUCAUCAUGACCAAGUGGGAUUUAUCCCAUGGUUAAAGAAUGUUUUAACAUAUGCAAAUCAAUCAGUGUGAUACAGCAUAUCAACAGAAUGAAGGACAAAACCAUAUAAUCAUUUCAGUUGAUGCUGAAAUACCAUUUGAUAAAACUCAACAUCCCUUCAUGAUAAAUUCCCUCAAAAAACAGUAUAGAAGGAAUGUACCUCAACACAAUGAAAGCCAUAUACAACAGACCCAUAGCUAGUAUGAUACUAAAUGGGGAAAAACUGAAAAGCCUUUCCUCUAAGAUCUGGAACAUGACAAGGGUGCCCACUGUCACCACUGUUAUUCAACAUAAUACUAGAAUUGCUAGCUAGAGUGAUCAAACAAGAGAAAGAAAUAAAGUGUAUCCAUACUGGGAAGGAAGAAUUCAAAUUAUCUUUGUUUGCAGAUGAUAUAAUUUUAUAUUUGGAAAAACCUGAAGACUUCAUCCAAUAAAUGAUUAGAACUGAUAAACAAAUUCAGUUAAGUUGCAGGAUACAAAAUCAACAUACAAAAAUCAGUAGCAUUUCUAUAUGCCAACAAAUAAUCUAAAAAAAAAUUUAAAAAGUAGUACCAAUGUCCUGGAGAGUUUCAUCAAAGUUGUCUUUAGUAGUUUCAUAGUUUGGGAUCUCAGGUUGAUGUAUUUAAUCCACUUUUAUUGGAUUUUUGUUUAUGGCAAGAGAUAGCGAUCUAGUUUCAUUCUUCUGCAUAUGGAUAUCCAGUUUUCCCAGCACCAUUUAUUGAAGAGACUGUUCUUUCCCCAAUGUAUGUCCUUGGGACCUUUGUCAAAAAUGAAUUCAUGGUAGAUGUAUGGAUUUAUUUCUGGGUUCUCUAUUCUGUUCCAUUGGUCUAUCUAUCUGUUUUUAUGCCAAGAUAAUGCUGUUUUGGUUACUAUAGCUCUGUAGUAUAAUUUGAAGUCAGGUAAUAUGAUUCCUCCGUUUUUGUUAUUUUGGCUAUCCUGAGUCUUUUGUGGUUCCGUAUACAUUUUGAUUGUUUUUUUCUAUUUCUAUAAAGAAUGUCCUUGGUAUGAGAUAGAGAUUACAGUGAAUCUGUAGAUUGCUUUGGAUAGUAUGGACAUUUUAGCAACAUUGAUUCUUCCAAUCCAUGAAUGUGGAAUAUCUUUCCAUUUUUUGUGAUUUAUUGUAUGUUUAAAAAUAACUAAGAGUGUAAUUGGAAUGUUUACAAAACAAGGAAAGAAUAAAUGCUUGAGGUGAUGGAUACCCCAUUUUCCCUGAUGUGAUUAUUACUCAUGUCUGCUGGUAUCAAAAUAUCUCAUGUAUCCCAUAAAUAUAUACAUCUACUAUAUGCCCAU
Molecule: long non-coding RNA, 6361 nt
Filed under: Homo sapiens (human)
Lineage: Eukaryota; Metazoa; Chordata; Mammalia; Primates; Hominidae
Description: HSALNT0286263
Source: RNAcentral